AUUAUGGUAAAAUAAAAAAAAUACCCGGUUUUGCUUCAGACAAAUAAUGUUGGUUAAAUUUGUUAAAUUUACAACAAAAAUACAACACAAAAUGAAAAAGUAAAUCGCGAUACCUUCUUGCAAAAGAAAUUGGCCGCAUAAAUAACUAUUAUUCCAACUUGAAACUCAAGAGAGAGAACAUAUCUUUUUAAAUUAGUAAUAUAUUUAAUGCAAAAUAAGAAAGAAAAUAAAAGACAAAGAAUAUUGUCAACGAAUAUAUUUUAUCGAAAAAGUAAGUGGUAGUGACAAGAAAACAAAAAGCAAUGCCCCAGGUUUAUCGUCAAGUGUAUGACAAGCCAUCUCUCUUUGCAAAUUGUUUUUUUUUUCGUCGAAAUGUUCAGCUUUCUUCCUCCAUUUAUGAUCUGCAUCUCAGGACAUGUCAUGUGUCACCUUUACAAGAUUUAGUUCAGCCAGGUCUAAUAAUGUUUAAUUAAUCAGUAAGUCCGAUCUAUAAAUGCAUCGGCAGGGAUUCCUGUGGCUUUAUGUCGCCUUCAAAAGUUGUUUUUCCAGCCCUGUCUUGAAUUUUAAACAGUAAGUCCGAUCCUCAACGAUCGGCAGUUACGCUUCUGAUAUUUGUCUCCCUCAAGAGCUUUUAAAAGUCUUAUCUAAAACCACUGACAGUGACUCUAUAUAUAUGGCACUGUGCCAUCUCAAAGUAAUUCUUAGUCUUGAUUUGCAAUAGAAAAAAGUAAGUCCGAUCUUCAGCGAUUGGCAGGGAUACUUGUGGCAUUAUGUCACCUGUAGUUAAAUUCUUAACUUGUCCUCGAUUUAAAGUAAGACCUUUUUAAAAAACUUUUCUCAUUAUACACUUUUGUUUUCUUCUUUCCAUUCCUCAUAACAACUAUUUUGUUGAAUGGGAUUUUAAUAAAAUUUUGUCUUUUCUAACCAUCUGUGGAGAUACAGUGUGACCUAGCUAGGCUGGGUCGAGUUUUCUUUCUCCCUGUAGCUCAUUCAGCCAAGAGAAUGAACAUCUACAAGCCUAAGACUGACUGGAUGAGGAGAGGCUGCUUUGUCGGAAUGGAAACGAAUCCCUCCGAGGAACCGGAAGCAGGGAGGAGGACCGACAGAUGAACUGAUGACUCUGCUUGUAGGGCUACCCAUUUCUGAUUCCUAAGAAAGCGGAGCCUGGUAUACAUGGAUAAAAGUGGCUGGAUGAAGAAGCUUCUGGUUGAGGAUGACCUUGCCCCCACCCCAUUUCAGCUGGAACUAAGGAGCCGGAAGCAGGAAGGAGGACCAACAGAUGAACGGAUGACCUGCUUGUCGGGCUUCCCAUUUCUGAUUUUUGAAUUAAUAGCAAAUGGAGCCUGGCAUACAUGGAUGAGAGUGGCUGGAUGAAGAAGCUUCUGGUUGAGGAUGACCUUGCCCCCCACCCCACUUCAGCUGGAACUAAGGAGCCGGAAGCAGGGAGGAGGACCAACAGAUGAACGGAUGACCUGCUUGUCGGGCUUCCCAUUUUUUAUUUUUGAACAAAUGGAGCCUGGCAUACAUGGAUGAGAGUGGCUGGAUGAAGAAGCUUCUGUUGAGGAUGCCUGACCUUGCCCCCACCCCACUUCAGCUGGAACUAAGGAGCCGGAAGCAGGAAGGAGGACCAACAGAUGAACGGAUGACCUGCUUGUUGGGCUUCCCAUUUUUUAUUUUUGAAGUAAGUUUCAAAAGGAAAAACAAAUAAACAAUGGAAAACUGUCAUCAACUUUUUCACUCAUCUGGUUAAGGAUGACCUUGCCCUUCCUGCCCCACUUCAGCUGGAACUAAGGAGUCCGAAGCACGGAGGAGGACCAAUGGAUGAGUGUUGACUCUGCUUAUUGAACUUGCCAGUUGAGAAUUUGUGAGCACGACUUACUUAAGAAAAUAUCAAAAUAAAUGAAAAUCGCUAUUACUUUUUUGCCAGCCAAACAGGAAUUGUUGCUAAUGUGACCUAGUUUGCCUAGGCCGAGAAGCUUUCUUUUUGUUUUACAGGAUGGAGAUUGUCAUAGGGAACGUCUCAAGCCAUUACUUCAGGGAGAAAGAUGCCUGGCAACCGGAAACAGGGAAUGACUGAUGCGCCUUAAUUCUUGCUCAACAUGACAUCUGUGAUACAUGAGAUUCCCCAAGAUGUUGACCGUCAACAUCAGCAUACAUACGGAGAUGGCUUGCUGGCUACCGUUAAUACCUCCCUCCCACCACCAGAACAAAAAAUCAAUUAAAAUUCAAAUGAAAUUAGAAUGUUAUCUCUGGGUUUGGACUAAGCAAAAUGUUAAAAGGCUAUGGGACACCCCACCCUGCCUAAAUGAAUAAGCCUGCCUCAUGCACUAACAAAAUGGUGCUCAUUUCUAAAUAAAUUCAAACCUUUGACGAUUCUUUUCAGUUAAAAAACCUCAAGAUGUGGAAAUUACACUGUGCUUAUGUUUUUGUUUGUUUGUUGCAUGAAUUCACUGUUCCCUUUUGGCAUGCAUUGUUCUUGCACGUUUUAUCAUAUUGCACCUUUUGGUUUUUAAGUAGCAAAAGGAUAAUCACAGUGUAUGGCCAUGGUCUGACAAUUACUACAUUCAAAAACUCUAACAUUUGGAGCUAAAUUUGAAACUAAUAAUUUAAAAUAUUUAAAAUUGACAGCAACAUAAUUUCAAAGGGGGGGGGGUUCAUCCCCUAGCCUUUGUCUCCCUUUUCCAUCUUAUCCUUAUCACCAUAAAAAAUCUGACAAAAAAAGAAAUGGCCCUCUCCUCAUCCUUGAAACAUUGAAUUUUUUUUAGGGAAUUGGCUUUUUAGAUGGAAAGCCCCCCUUUCAACAAUGAAAAACACCUUUUUACUAAAGCAUUUAAAUAAUUGUCUGCAGUAAGGUUCCUUCUAUCGUUUUCCUUAACUUACUAUGUUCUGUCGUAAAUCAAAUAACGAUGUCAACGAAUACAUCUGAGGAAGAAGCCACUGGUUGAGGAUGACCUUGCACUCCCCGUCCCAGGAGCCGGAAGCAGGGAGGAGGACCAACAGAAGAACUGAUGAUUCUGCAGUGAACUAGCCAUUUCUGAUUUUCAAGAAGCAUGGAUGAGUCUUGGAUUGAUGGAGACUUGGAUAUGCUGUUUGUCGAUUUGACACACCCCCACCAUCACAGAUGUACCUUAGGAACCGGAAGCAGGGAGGAGGACCGACAGAUGAACUGAAGACCGUACUUACUGAGCUAGCCAUUUCUAAUUUUCAAGACCUGGGAAGUUUGUCUGUUGACUUGACACCUGAAACCAUCAUCACAUAUGACUGAGGAACCGGAAGCAGGGAGGAAGAACGACAGAAGAACGGAAGACCCUGCUUGCUGGGCUCUCCAUUUCCAAUGUUUUAGAAAUGGGAACCUGAUCUGGAUGAGAGUUGUCAGAUGAAGAGGCUUCUGGUUGAGGCUGACUUGUCCCUCCUCACCCCACUUCUGCUGAUGCUAAGGAGGAGGAAACAGGGAGGAGAACCUACAGAGGACUAUAGACUCUACUUGCUGAGCUUGCCAGGAAUUCCUACAAACUUUAAAAAUGUGACAGUGUCUGGCACACUGCUCCAUGGAGAGAAAACCCCACCAGAUAAUCAGGCAGGAAACUUCAUCAUAAUUGAAAAAAAUAUAUGAACAGUCAAUGACAUUCUUAAAGAUGAGAUGAACAUCAAUGGCAACAUCUGAAACAAAGUCAGAAGCCUGGAACAUUGCCAGAAUGACAAGGCUUUAUGCCUUAUAUAGUUUACUAUUGAACCGUCAAUGACGUUCCAAGAAAAUACAAUUAUCAGUGAAGACAAACUGCAAUGAACAAAAGUCACACUACUUGGAAUAUUAUCCUGAAGCCUUAGAUUAGGUUUAUCAUAAGUCUACAGAAAAGUUAAAACACGACUGCUGAUAAAACUAAAAAUUCCAGGAGGGAGACGAGGAAGAACUGAGAACUGAGAUGUAACUGCGUGGUGCACUGUCAUUGGACAAUUGAUUUUUGUUUUCAUACAGUUUUCUAAAGCAGACACAAUUUGCCAAAAAAAAUAAAAUACUUUGUAUGACCAUUGAGACAGAAAUGGAAUCCAUCCUGUCCAAUAAUCAACC
RNAcentral lists this long non-coding RNA (4069 nucleotides) under Patiria miniata (bat star). RNAcentral's name for it is "uncharacterized LOC119728787". The record is from RNAcentral. Lineage: Eukaryota; Metazoa; Echinodermata; Asteroidea; Valvatida; Asterinidae.